UGCUGAGGAGUCCCACAAUGGGACGAAACGGCCGUCCA
Non-coding RNA from Schistosoma curassoni, 38 nucleotides. The record is from Rfam. Lineage: Eukaryota; Metazoa; Platyhelminthes; Trematoda; Strigeidida; Schistosomatidae.